CCUACGGGUGGCUGCAGUGAGGAAUAUUGGUCAAUGGCCGGAAGGCUGAACCAGCCAAGCCGCGUGAAGGACGAAGGUGCCCAGCAUUGUAAACUUCUUUUGUCAAGGGACAAAAUCAGGCUCGAGAGCCUGACCGCGGUUACUUUAAGAAAAAGCAUCGGCUAACUCCGUUCCAGCCGCCGCGCUAAUACGGAGGAUGCGAGCGUUAUCCGGAUUUAUUGGGUUUAACGGGUGCGUAGGCGGACUGUUAAGUCAGCGGUAAAAGCCCGGGGCUAAACCCCGGCGAGCCGUUGAAACUGGCUGUCUUGAGAUGUCGAGAGGGAGGCGGAAUGCGCAGUGUAGCGGUGAAAUGCUUAGAUAUUGCGCAGAACUCCGAUGGCGAAGGCAGCAUACCGGCGGCGAUCUGACGCUGAGGCACGAAAGCGUGGGUAUCGAACAGGAUUAGAUACCCUUGUAGUC
This 459-nucleotide ribosomal RNA is filed under the name uncultured bacterium. RNAcentral describes it as "partial 16S ribosomal RNA". It matches the Rfam family "Bacterial small subunit ribosomal RNA", at positions 338 to 795 of the family's 1533-position model. The record is from RNAcentral.